CAGUCGCCACGGUAAUACGAGGGGGGCAAGCGUUGUUCGGAUUUAUUGGGCGUAAAGGGUGCGUAGGCGGUUUGGCAAGUCCUGUGUGAAAUCUUCGGGCUCAACCCGAAGCCUGCACGAGAAACUACCGGGCUUGAGUAUUGGAGAGAUGAGUGGAAUUCCCGGUGUAGCGGUGAAAUGCGUAGAUAUCGGAAGGAACACCUGUGGCGAAAGCGGCUCACUGGACAUUUACUGACGCUGAUGCACGAAAGCUAGGGGAGCAAACAGGAUUAGAUACCCGCGUAGUCCCUGUCUCUUAUAC
Molecule: ribosomal RNA, 301 nt
Filed under: uncultured bacterium
Lineage: Bacteria
Description: partial 16S ribosomal RNA
Rfam family: Bacterial small subunit ribosomal RNA
Source: RNAcentral